UUCGACUGGUUUGGCAUGUGGGCAUCAUCAUCGGGAUGGAAGAAAGAAUUUUUGAAAGACUGAUUUAUUAAUUUACUCAUAGAAGACUAUAUCACAUUGUCAAACUUGGUUUGAUAGAUCAUAAUCUCAUUUGGAGAAAGCUGAAAACGAGAUUAGCACAAACUUUAAAUAAUGUUUUUAUCACUUUAAAUAAUGUUCACAUUAACUAUUAUGUUUGUUUAUACGUGAAUGUGACAAACAUAGAAUGAACUAACGUUAAACAAUUACUAAUUAGGUCUAGUCGAAUAUUCCAUAUGAAUAUAACAUUAGUAUAUUACGAGAAGUAGACCAAGAAAAGCAUUGGUUGCUUUUAUUCUUCAUGUUUUGAUAUCGUCCUAAAGUUAGCAUCAAGAGCUGUUUAGGCUUUUAGUAACUGCGAAAGGUCGCAUAAAAACCUGCUUUGAUUAGCUUAACCCAUCCCUGACCUAUUAAUAAUCAUAUCUUGAGGAAACCCUAAUCAGAAUCCUGUACUUUUUGAUCUAUCAUCAAAAUAUUGAAUUUAUUAAUAUAUACACAUAUCUAUAGAAUCUUAGAUAUUGUUAAAAUAUUAAGAUUUGAAAUAGAUCGAACCGUCAUAUCGAAAACGUCAAUAGCUCUUCUCUAGAUUCAAGUUCCCCAUGGUUUUCCUAUUAAAAUUUGACAUCAUAUUUUCAUCUAAUUUUCCAACCAAUCCACGACACUUAAUUUUAUUUUUAAUAUAUUCAUUGUAACAUUCAACUGUAAAAAAAAUAUUUAAGAUUUCAUCAAAUUGAUGCAAAAUAAAAUAAUAUUAAUAUAGAGCCAUAUAUUUGAGCUUUGUCGUAAGCUUAGCAACUAUUCCACAUUUCUAAUUAUAAAAGUGUUUAAAGUGUAUAAAUUCAUUUCAUGAUUAAAUCUUGAUUUUGAGUUAAGCUUUACGUAGUAGUUACAAAACUGUAGUAUCUAAACUAUACUAAAAGCAGAAUACUAAGCCCUCUAAGGGUGUACAUGUCGGAUUGAAAAAUUAGCCAUUCAUAGAGCAGCAUUCAUCCAUGUCAUUUUGAUUAAUUUUGGAUACGUGUUCUCUUCUUUCUUCUAUAUUACCGGCGACUUAUCACUUCUUCUUCUUCCACCACAUAUUUGUAACCGUCGAAUUAACUACAGCUCUUAACUCCUCUGCAAUUAAAUAUCGAAUACUUCCUCAUCCUUUCAGCUUCCAUAUUUAGGAACACGUUGGCAAGUCUCUGUUCAUCUUUUUCUAUUAUUGCAAUCUUCUAUUACAGCUGGAGAGGGCAAUGGAGAGGCGGAGAAGCUAGCUUGGGUUCGUUGAGAAGCAAAAAAACUUCCCGGGUAGUAAUAGAGAGAGCACCAGUUGUGGAUCCAGUUCGUUGAACUUUAUAAAUUUGCUAAGCGAUCAUUCAUGGGCAUGAUGAAAAAGUAUUCGACUUCUGCUCACUCACAUGCUUCCUCCUGUGCUGAUUGAGAAAGAUGGUACUCAGAGAAGUUCGUGAAAGGACAAUGAGAUAAAGAAGACUGUGUUCCUGAGUGAAAAACGUAAAUAGAAUGUCUCUUGGAAAGUUUAGAUCGAAAACUUCUUACGCCUAUUUUGGAGUUUUCUGACAUGAUGGUUGCCCUUCUGAUGUAAGCCACUUUGGGAUUUCUGCGUUUGCAAUCUGGUGAGUCAACAUCUGAUCUUAUCAUGUUAUUUCAAACAUGGAAGCGGGUAGAUUGGGCUCCAACCAUCGGUUAGAAGGCUUUUUCCCGGAUUACUCCAGCAGUUCAAUAAUAGCUGAUGUUAUCAUAUGCGAAAAUAUGUUUGGGGUGCUGACUUCUUCUUCUUCAUCAGCUGGUACUCCCCUUCGUUUCUUUGUUUAUGACAAGUAUUUAAAAGGACUAAAAAGGUAAAUAUACCUUUAUAUUUGAAAUCUGAAUUGGAAACAUUCUUCAGUCAAAAGUUAAUUGAAAUCUGAAUUUUCCAGAAUCCUGGAACACUUUCUAAAGCAAUAAAAAUUGAACACACUGUGCUUACACUUUCUGGCUCAGGAACUCUAGAGUGGUGACAACAUUACAAAAAUACUUUCAAAGUAUUUGGACCAUUGGGAUCAUCACACUUCACAGCAGAGGGGCGUUCAAGGAACCAUCUAUUGAAUAUUCUGUCAAAAAAUAGUAACACCACGUUAUUCACUAAUGAUAUAUUGUUCGUACACUCUUACAAACAAUGAUGUUAACGUAGGGUAAGUUCGAGUUUAGCCCCAUCUAUUGUGUGCCACCAGAUAAGGCUCUAUGUAAAAGAGGUUUUCAUUUCAGAUUAUUUAGACCGGGAGGUGGUGAGAGAUUUCUCUUUGGUGUGGCCUUUCAAGAAAUCUGUAUUUCUUUUUUAUUGAUAUCCAUUUUAAUGCAAAGCCUUCAACAUAUA
Brassica napus (rape) is the source of this 2413-nucleotide long non-coding RNA. RefSeq lists it as uncharacterized. Lineage: Eukaryota; Viridiplantae; Streptophyta; Magnoliopsida; Brassicales; Brassicaceae. The transcript has 5 exons. The record is from RefSeq and is a predicted model, not a curated record.